UCCAUUUCCCGGAGAGCGCGGCCGACAACCACUCUAGGGUGCGCCUCCCUCGGAUCCCCCUCUUCCUCUUCCCCCUCCCUCUCCUUCCCGGCGAGCGCGGGGCAGCGGCCGGCCUGGCCUCGGGUGGGCGAGCGUGGCCUCGUGCCGGCGGCGGCGAUGGGGUUGCGGCGAGCGUGGGCUGGGGCAGGCUGCGGCGAGCGUGGCCGAGAGCGGGCCGGUGGUCGGCCUGGCCUCGGGCAAGCAUCACGCCGCACCGGCAGCGAUGGGGCGCGGCCAGCCCAGCCUCGUGCCGGCGACGGCAAGCAAAGGCCUAGCGCGGAGCAGCAGUAGCAAUGGCCUCACCGCUGGCCGCCCGCCUCCCGUGCCAUGUCAUAGCUCGUCAAGACCAACGGCUGCCGCGCAUUCCUCGUCGACACCCUCGCCCUGGUAAAGCCUCUACGUCCUGGGUCCUACGAGUGCUCGGGAGGUGUUCGGCGAAAUGCUCCUCCUCCGACGGGGACGCUGGCGUGGGUGUGGGGGGCUGUGGUCGUCGCAGGUCAGGAAGCUCGAGUCGCAGGGAGUGCCCACCAAGCAGGCCGAGGCCAUCACCGAGGUGCUCAACGACAGCCUCGACAGCAUGUCCGAGUCGUUCAUCUCCAAGGCCGACAUUCAGAAGAGUGAGAUGCUGGAGGAGUCCAAUAUCGAUCUCCAAGUUCAAGUCGCAAGUGCAGAUCUCGCAUGUAUUCUUCAAAGCUAAGCUGUCUCGUCGUGACCAUUAGGCGUUGUUGGAUUUUUCGCUCUAACUUGAUCUUGGAGCUUGUACGAGUUUGUUUUAGAAUGUUUAGUUUCUUUAGAAUGUUCAGUUUCAACGUUACUGUGACGAAGGUUUAUACAACCACCUUUAGAACUGCUGCUCAUUAUGUGAUGACCCUAUUAGUUUGAGGGAUUGAUGUAUGGGAAAUGGCGAUUGUCGGUUGAGAUCA
Molecule: long non-coding RNA, 962 nt
Organism: Panicum virgatum (switchgrass)
Lineage: Eukaryota; Viridiplantae; Streptophyta; Magnoliopsida; Poales; Poaceae
Exons: 2
Source: RefSeq, a predicted model, not a curated record